RNAcentral lists this ribosomal RNA (370 nucleotides) under uncultured bacterium. RNAcentral's name for it is "partial 16S ribosomal RNA". It matches the Rfam family "Bacterial small subunit ribosomal RNA", at positions 360 to 774 of the family's 1533-position model. The record is from RNAcentral.
AAUAUUGGACAAUGGGGGCACCCCUGAUCCAGCCAUGCCGCGUGUGUGAAGAAGGUCUUCGGACUUGACGGUACCCAUGAAGAAAGCCCCGGCUAACUACGUGCCAGCAGCCGCGGUAAUACGCAGGGGGCGAGCGUUGUCCGGAAUUACUGGGCGUAAAGGGUGCGUAGGCGGCCCUUUAAGUCAGAUGUGAAAGCCCGCAGCUUAACUGCGGAAUUGCAUUUGAGACUGGAGGGCUUGAGUGUCGGAGAGGGUAGUGGAAUUCCCAGUGUAGCGGUGAAAUGCGUAGAUAUUGGGAGGAACACCAGUGGCGAAGGCGACUGCCUGGACGAUAACUGACGCUGAGGCACGAAAGCUAGGGGAGCAAACA